AAAUACAAAAAUUAGCCGGGCAUGGUGGCGUGGGCCUGUAAUCCUAGCUACUCUGAAGGCUGAGGCAGGAGAAUUGCUUGAACCCAGGAGGCGAAGCUUGCAGUGAGCCAAGAUCACGCCACUGCACUCCAGUCUGGGCGACAAAGCAAGACUUCUUCUCAAACAAAACAAAAAAACAAAACAAACAAACAAACAAAAAAUGACUGUGUUAACGACUGGCUUGCAAAAUUUCUGAAAAUUCACAAUUGGCUCCGGAGGAUGGGGUUGAUCCAACUCCAGGCUGACACUGCCCCUGGGGUGAGAGCCCCCAGGAAUUGGAGGGCGGGGGCUGAGGGGAGGGUCCCUUAAGGCCUUAUGCUCACAGUCGCCUUUUCCUCCCCCAGAUCCUCUCCUUCAUCCUGCACACAAUCGUGCGAGGAUUUAUCCACUCCGCUGUCGGGGGCCUGUACGCCGCCGUGUACCCCUCCACCCAGUUCGGCAGCCUCACGGGACUGCAGUCUCUGAUCAGCGCGCUCUUCGCCCUUCUGCAGCAGCCGCUGUUUCUGGCCAUGAUGGGUCCUCUCCAGGGAGACCCU
This 575-nucleotide small RNA is filed under the name Pan troglodytes (chimpanzee). Its description in RNAcentral is "retained intron". Lineage: Eukaryota; Metazoa; Chordata; Mammalia; Primates; Hominidae. The record is from RNAcentral.